GACGAACGCUGGCGGCGUGCCUAAUACAUGCAAGUAGAACGCACAGUUUAUACCGUAGCUUGCUACACCAUAGACUGUGAGUUGCGAACGGGUGAGUAACGCGUAGGUAACCUGCCUGGUAGCGGGGGAUAACUAUUGGAAACGAUAGCUAAUACCGCAUAAUAUUAAUUAUUGCAUGAUAAUUAAUUGAAAGGUGCAAUUGCACCACUACCAGAUGGACCUGCGUUGUAUUAGCUAGUAGGUGAGGUAACGGCUCACCUAGGCGACGAUACAUAGCCGACCUGGGAGGGUGAUCGGCCACACUGGGACUGAGACACGGCCCAGACUCCUACGGGAGGCAGCAGUAGGGAAUCUUCGGCAAUAGACGAAAGUCUGACCGAGCAACGCCGCGUGAGUGAAGAAGGUUUUCGGAUCGUAAAGCUCUGUUGUAAGAGAAGAACGGGUGUGAGAGUGGAAAGUGCACACUGUGACGGUAUCUUACCAGAAAGGGACGGCUAACUACGUG
RNAcentral lists this ribosomal RNA (505 nucleotides) under uncultured bacterium. RNAcentral's name for it is "partial 16S ribosomal RNA". It matches the Rfam family "Bacterial small subunit ribosomal RNA", at positions 28 to 507 of the family's 1533-position model. The record is from RNAcentral.